AGAAAAAUAAACUCAAAUCCUGAAGAGAUUCUGUUAUGUUGUUCAUUAUCUAAUCCAAAACGACAACAACGGUGGUGCCAGUGGCAGCAGCAGCUUCAGCUAUGAUGGCGCCUCUCUCUAUUGACCGGAAACGGUGCGUUUUGGUCCCACCAUCAUCUCAUGAAGGAGAAGAAGCUAAUAUCCAAAUCAAUUCGCGCUCAGUCCUCACCUUUCGACCUCUCUCCUCCUCCCAUCGACCAUGAUUUCCUGGUUGAUAAGCAGCCUGUAACUUUAGGGGUUGGAAACAUCAUUUCUGAAGAUGGUUUUUCAUUACUGAUGUCUCCAGGAGCUGCUCCAUCCAUUUGGAAAGCUAUUCUUUCUCAAGGAGCAAUCCCAAUGGGUUCUAAUGCAUGGAAUAAACUACGGUUUAUUCGAGGAGUUAGUCUACUAUAGCAUACUAACCUGUCUAUGGAACUCGGUUUCUCUAAAUAAGGGUUGUUACAAAGGACAGGAGACUAUAUCUAGGCUCAUAACAUGAUGGAAUCAAGCAGAGGUUAUGGGGAUCUCAUCUUUCUGCUGCUGCAGAACCUGGCAGCAUUAUUACAGUUGAUGAGAAAAAGGUGCUAUACAAUUUCUUUUGAAAAAUAUUCACUACUUUUUUCUUCGAUCCUUAUGUAUUUGUUAAAGAGAAAGAUGGAAAUUUGCAGUGUAAUACCCAGUUGAAACUAACGAUGACAGGAACAUGGUGAAAACUCCAGUUACAAUGUUUGUCUGGAGAAACCCAUCUUGUCAAAAUAAUGGAUAACUAAUAGUGGUUCCCUGAGUCAGUAGCCUAGUGCUUGUGAUGUUGGGUUGCGUUCUGUAAUCCUAAUAUUCUCCUUGAAUGAGUUGGAAGAAAGUUGAUGGUUGGAAAGUUAACCAGCUACACAUCUGGAAGGAAGCAAUCUGAACACUUUGGAUUAGGUUACAUCAAGAGGCGAGCUGCUUCGGAAGGAGACACUGUAAUUGUCCGUGACAACAUCAAGGGAACAGUGGUGGAAGCACCUUUUCUUUCGCAGCUGCGCCCACCAUCUGCUAGUUGAGCUUCCUGUGUGGUAGCACUUAUUGGUGUUGUUGAAAAAGCACAUGCAUAAUAACUAGUAAAUUAGUUAAACUGUUAGUGAAGGUGCUUGUUAUCUUGAUCAUGUUUGCGGUGAAUAGCAUGUGGUCAAUAGCAUCAAUCUUGGAUGAGAUUACAUCUUUUUUCUGUUCUUCCUUUCUUCUUGGAGGUUGCAUCUUGUUCCAAGGUACUCUCGAAUGACCUUUCUACAGUCCUACCAAAAGAAUUAGAAUGAAGCAGCCUUAGUCCAUUCAAUAUAGGAGUCUCUAUAACUUUCCCAAUUUGUGACCAUGUCUUCUAAACCAACGGUGUUUCCUUUCGCCAAUCUGGCUAAUUUUCUCAAUUUGACCAAUUAAGACUACUGCAGCAGCCAUUUGACGCACAAUUUGAUCCUUAUCUCUUCAUUCUCUAGAAAUUGGAAUGUUAUCUUGUUGAAUUAGAAUACAAAAUUUUGCUACGUUAUUCAUAGUAGAGCUUUGAAACAAACCUCCAACUAAUUCAAAAUAUUACGAUUAGUCUUGGGAUGACCAGAGGCUUGCUUGCCUGAAUACCAAUCUUAGAAGUCACAUGUGGACCUAAGUCAUUUGUUAUAAACGACCGAUAACCAAAUAUUUGUUAACAAAAUUAACUUUGUUAUCAAGACACUGGUUUUAUAGAAUGAAAUUAAUUUCAUGUCUGUCAAAAUGUUUCUUUAUGACAAAUUUAUAUCAGUGAAGGUACUUUAUUUUUAAAUUUCUUAACGAGCUGUUAGAAUUUAAUUGAAAAGACGCCGAAAGAGACAUUAAAAAAACUUGAUUCUUAAGCUUUAUACGUUGAAAAAGGAUGUUUAACUUUUCAACUACUCGGUUUGAUGAACUUCAAUUUCAUUCAAAGAUAUAUCAAGCACAUUAGCAGUGAAAUGCGACUUGUUAAUUUAUGAACAACCUUUUUUCUUUUUCUUUUCUCUUUUUAUGGAACCUUUUUUAAUUUAGAUACAUAUGAACAAGUGAAC
RNA transcript from Glycine soja, 2069 nucleotides. It is a transcript of the gene named putative transferase At1g60990, chloroplastic, with no coding region annotated. The record is from RefSeq and is a predicted model, not a curated record. The transcript has 4 exons. Lineage: Eukaryota; Viridiplantae; Streptophyta; Magnoliopsida; Fabales; Fabaceae.